RNAcentral lists this ribosomal RNA (497 nucleotides) under uncultured bacterium. Its description in RNAcentral is "partial 16S ribosomal RNA". It matches the Rfam family "Bacterial small subunit ribosomal RNA", at positions 28 to 507 of the family's 1533-position model. The record is from RNAcentral.
GAUGAGCGCUGGCGGCGUGCCUAAUACAUGCAAGUCGAGCGAACAGAUGAGGAGCUUGCUCCUCUGACGUUAGCGGCGGACGGGUGAGUAACACGUGGAUAACCUACCUAUAAGACUGGGAUAACUUCGGGAAACCGGAGCUAAUACCGGAUAAUAUAUUGAACCGCAUGGUUCAAUAGUGAAAGACGGUUUUGCUGUCACUUAUAGAUGGAUCCGCGCCGCAUUAGCUAGUUGGUAAGGUAACGGCUUACCAAGGCAACGAUGCGUAGCCGACCUGAGGGGGUGAUCGGCCACACUGGAACUGAGACACGGUCCAGACUCCUACGGGAGGCAGCAGUAGGGAAUCUUCCGCAAUGGGCGAAAGCCUGACGGGGCAACGCCGCGUGAGUGAUGAAGGUCUUCGGAUCGUAAAACUCUGUUAUUAGGGAAGAACAAAUGUGUAAGUAACUAUGCACGUCUUGACGGUACCUAAUCAGAAAGCCACGGCUAACUACGUG